GACGAACGCUGGCGCGUGCUUAACACAUGCAAGUCGAACGGAAAGGCCCUGCUUUUGUGGGGUGCUCGAGUGGCGAACGGGCGAGUAACACGUGAGUAACCUGCCCUUUACUUUGGGAUAACUUCAGGAAACUGGGGCUAAUACCGGAUAGGAGCUCCUGCUGCAUGGUGGGGGUUGGAAAGUUUCGGCGGUUGGGGAUGGACUCGCGGCUUAUCAGCUUGUUGGUGGGGUAGUGGCUUACCAAGGCUUUGACGGGUAGCCGGCCUGAGAGGGUGACCGGCCACAUUGGGACUGAGAUACGGCCCAGACUCCUACGGGAGGCAGCAGUGGGGAAUAUUGCACAAUGGGCGGAAGCCUGAUGCAGCAACGCCGCGUGCGGGAUGACGGCCUUCGGGUUGUAAACCGCUUUCGCCUGUGACGAAGCGUGAGUGACGGUAAUGGGUAAAGAAGCACCGGCUAACUACGUG
This 467-nucleotide ribosomal RNA is filed under the name uncultured bacterium. RNAcentral describes it as "partial 16S ribosomal RNA". It matches the Rfam family "Bacterial small subunit ribosomal RNA", at positions 28 to 507 of the family's 1533-position model. The record is from RNAcentral.